GACGAACGCUGGCGGCGUGCCUAAUACAUGCAAGUAGGACGCAGUUGCGAACGGGUGAGUAACGCGUAGGUAACUGGCUAUUAGAGGGGGAUAACUAUUGGAACCGAUAGCUAAUACCGCAUACUAGUAGAUGGACCUGCGUUGUAUUAGCUAGUAGGUAGGGUAAUGGCCUACCUAGGCGACGGUACAUAGCCGACCUUGGGAGGUGAUCGGCCACACUGGGACUGGUGAACGGGCCAGACUCCGUCUGGGAGCAGCAGUAGGGGAUUUUUGGCAAAGGGGGGAACCCUGGCCGAGCAACGCAGCGUGAGUGGAGGAAGUUUUCGGGUCGUAAAAGUCUUUUGUUAAGGGAGCGGUACUUAACCAAGAAGGGACGGCUAACUACGUGCCAGCAGCCGCGGUAAUUC
Molecule: ribosomal RNA, 407 nt
Filed under: uncultured bacterium
Lineage: Bacteria
Description: partial 16S ribosomal RNA
Rfam family: Bacterial small subunit ribosomal RNA
Source: RNAcentral